UUCCGGUUGAUCCUGCCGGACCUGACUGCUAUCGGAUUGAUACUAAGCCAUGCGAGUCAUUGUAGCAAUACAAGGCAUACGGCUCAGUAACGCGUAGUCAACCUACCCUAUGGACGGGAAUAACCUCGGGAAACUGAGAAUAAUACCCGAUAGAACAUUAUGCCUGGAAUGGUUUAUGUUCCAAAUGAUUUAUCGCCGUAGGAUGGGACUGCGGCCUAUCAGUUUGUUGGUGAGGUAAUGGCCCACCAAGACUAUUACAGGUACGGGCUCUGAGAGGAGUGGCCCGGAGAUGGGUACUGAGACACGGACCCAGGCCCUAUGGGGCGCAGCAGGCGAGAAAACUUUGCAAUGUGCGAAAGCACGACAAGGUUAAUCCGAGUGGUUUGUGCUAAACGAACCUUUUGUCAGUCCUAGAAACACUGACGAAUAAGGGGUGGGCAAGUUCUGGUGUCAGCCGCCGCGGUAAAACCAGCACCUCAAGUGGUCAGGAUGAUUAUUGGGCCUAAAGCAUCAGUAGCCGGCUCUGUAAGUUUUCGGUUAAAUCUGUACGCUUAACGUACAGGCUGCCGGGAAUACUGCAGAGCUAGGGAGUGGGAGAGGUAGACGGUACUCGGUAGGAAGGGGUAAAAUCCUUUGAUCUAUUGAUGACCACCUGUGGCGAAGGCGGUCUACCAGAACACGUCCGACGGUGAGGGAUGAAAGCUGGGGGAGCAAACCGGAUUAGAUACCCGGGUAGUCCCAGCUGUAAACUAUGCGAGCUAGGUGUUGGGGUGGCUACGUGCCACUUCAGUGCCGCAGGGAAGCCAUUAAGCUCGCCGCCUGGGGGAGUACGGCCGCAAGGCUGAAACUUAAAGGAAUUGGCGGGGGAGCACCACAAGGCGUGAAGCUUGCGGUUCAUUU
This 900-nucleotide ribosomal RNA is filed under the name uncultured archaeon. Its description in RNAcentral is "bacterial SSU rRNA". It matches the Rfam family "Archaeal small subunit ribosomal RNA", at positions 1 to 907 of the family's 1478-position model. The record is from RNAcentral.